CCCACCAUGUCCUUAGUCAACAGUUUUUAAGGUUGGAAACUUGCUCCAAAGGCAAAGGAUCCAAAAAGGGGUCAAGAAUGCCAAGGACAAACUUUGUUCACUUUCCAUUUUCCCCAAUUAAACAUGGACAAAUAAAAGCAAUUUGCAAAACAUAUUUGGGGCGGCCUGCAGCCACCAGGUUCCAGUUAAUUGGAAUAUUGAGGGAAAGCAACUCUCUCUUUCUUUCUCAAGACUUUCUUUUGCAAUCUAAUGUCUUAAGAGUGUCAGACCUUUUUCCUCGUGAGCGAUUUUUAGCAACAUAAAAUGUGUCUUCAGGUUACACAGAUUUCUUCCGUGGGGCACAUCACAUCUAUAAUUUUUUUAAUUAAUUAAUUUUAGUUCUGAGCCUUAGAGUAACUUUGGGCUCUAACUAAAAUAUGCACGUGUGGCAAAUAGAUCUUCAUUUCUAAGGGGGAUAGGAGAGAUUUUAGAGCUCUUGCGGAUUUGUAUUGUGUUACUUUUCCAUUUCUUCCCAAACGUAUCUCCUCUGCCUUUUCCUUCCUCCCUGCUUCCAGGAUGGAUGAUGGCCGGCUCUUAGACUACCUUAUGCAUCACGAUGAGCUGAUGGAAGAGAAAGUAGCUUUCUAUAUCCGAGACAUCAUAGAAGCUCUGCAGUAUCUUCACAACUGCAGGGUGGCCCAUUUGGACAUCAAGGUAAUAAGAAAUAGCUACCCUUGCAGGGAGAUAGCCUGUUCAUCAUUACCCUUGAGAGAUGUACAUUCUAAUUCAUUUCAUUUCCUUAGAUUAGGAUCCUUAGGAAUAUUAAAUAGAAACUGGGUUGUCACACAAUUUGAGUGUGUUUCUCGUGAAUUAUGAGAACUCACCAGAGUCACAGUGACAUCUGGGGUGAGAGAAGGUAGGGAAGCUUUUACCACUUCGUCUAACAUUUUAGAAGGAAGCCAGUAAAUGUCAGUUUUUUGACGGUGCUCCCAAAGAAGGCUCUGUUUUCCAAAAUGAAUAAUUCAUUCUUUUUUUCUGAAUCAGUGCAGAGGUAAGGGGUGGUUGAGAAGACAUGAUUUUCAAUGUCAAACAGCUUCUCUGAACUGCCACCCAAACUCCGAAUUUAGUCUAGUUUGGAGCCCCCUGUGCACUUUGCAUGGGCAAUUUCCCAUGCUCUAUAGGCUUUUUCAAAGAAUAGCAGAACCGCUUUUGAACCACCAGAGUCGUACUGGUAGUCAAGACAAGUCAGAGAGCUGAACUUGCCUUCUCUUCUCCCUCACGCCUGCGUCUCCUCAGCCGGAAAACCUGCUCAUCGACCUUCGCAUUCCAGUACCUCGAGUGAAGCUCAUCGACCUGGAGGAUGCCGUCCAGAUCUCGGGCCACUUCCACAUCCACCACCUGCUGGGGAACCCCGAGUUUGCUGCCCCAGAAGUGAUCCAAGGCAUCCCCGUCUCCCUGGGCACAGAUAUCUGGAGCAUCGGGGUGCUGACAUAUGUCAUGCUGAGUGGGGUGUCCCCCUUCUUGGAUGAGAGUAAAGAGGAGACAUGUAUCAAUGUGUGCAGGGUGGACUUCAGCUUCCCGCACGAAUACUUCUGUGGUGUGAGCAAUGCCGCCAGAGACUUCAUCAAUGUGAUCCUACAGGAAGACUUUCGGAGGAGGCCCACGGCAGCCACCUGCCUGCAGCAUCCCUGGCUGCAGCCCCACAAUGGCAGCUACUCCAAGAUCCCCCUGGACACCUCCCGCCUGGCGUGCUUCAUAGAACGCCGCAAGCAUCAGAACGACGUGCGGCCUAUCCCCAAUGUCAAGAGCUACAUCGUCAACCGAGUAAACCAAGGGACAUAGCCAUCUCCUGGCCCUUGGGGUUUCACAUGGAAGUGCAGUGUGAACCAAAGCAAGACUGAAUGUCUGUAAAUAAUUCUGUUAGUUCACUCCAUGCAGUUCUCUGGAUCGAGCGAUGUACCUCUUAAACCUCGUCAGUGGUUAUUCAGGGUCUGGGCAGCCGUAAAAUUACCCUAAAUCCAGGGACAUUUCAGAAGGUCAUUUGGAAGAGGUAAAGAUGCAAAGAGUCACCCAAAGCAUUAAAGAGAGGGCCAAGGAGGACAAGAAUAUUAGCUGUUAGACAAUUUUAAUAGAGUGUUCCAAAAUGAGUGGUUAACCGGGCAAACCCAAAGCUCACUGUAGUGAGUAUAAAAGGUUUCUAACUCUGCUGAAAUUUUAAGCAAAAAGUUCUAUUUAACAGAGACAUCAUGUAUGCCAACUAUUCUGGUUUAGAUUACUUAGAUAUAGUUUCUUAAUAGGAUACAUAUACACAUACAGUAAAAUAUAUCCCAUUCAGGUUUCAGAGUUUUAUAAUAUAGAGGUAUAUAUGAAAUCAAUCAUAAGUAACUUUGAGUGCUCCAGUUAAGACAGUAAUUUAUUUACCGAAGCAUUACGUUGUUUUGACUAAGCACAAUUAGAUGACAAGUUUUUUAGAGCAUUUUAUAAAUCUUGUAUAGAAAUCUUUUACCAGAACCCGUGCAUUAAGAGAAAGCAAUGUUACCCUUUUGCAGUCCGUGAAUGAGAAGAUUUUUCUCUCAGUCACAAGUAUUUGAUUAACAUAGGUUCUGUAUAUGAAAUGCUACCCCCAAAUUCACUGGCAGCUCAGAGUUCAUCUGGCAGGAAAGCCUGCCAGAAAAGAAGUCCAAAUACAGUAAGAGUUCUGGGGUUAUUUUUAUGUCUACACUCGGUUUGAACUAGGUAAUGAAUAUAACAGGUUCAUACAAAAGGGCAAGUAGAAACCUUUCCUACGGUUCCUAAGAACAACGUAACGACACUUUCUGACUUCUUCUACAGCUGUAGAAGGCAGUCCUCAGAAAGUUGGCUUGCUUUAUUUCUAACCCCUUCUGGAAGCUAAGGGGUGCUUACCAAAAGGAGGCAGCCAUAUAGGCCUAAAAGGCCUGGUCCCAAGUCCUUUUUGAAGCCAUGGAAUAAAAUCUGAUAUAUCACUCUAACAGAGCAUUGAGUUUCAACUGUGAUUGCAAUACCUGUCACCACUCAGCCGCUGAUAUUUCCCUGGACCAAAAGGACUCAUUGCACUUUGAGGCCAAUGCUGCUUUCUGGCAUGUAUUCUCCACACACAGUGAUUCUGAACUGCCCUUUCCCCUGCUAGUGGGGGAAAAAAAAACUUCAACCUGGGCAUUUCAUGGUUGUUUUUCUUUCUUUGUUUUUGAGGAACAAUUUUGGGUUUUUUGUGUUGGUACAUGACCCACCCUUUGUUUUCUAGGAUGUGUUUUAAAAGUUGCUAUUAUGCAAAUAAUAUUUUAAAAAUAUAACUCAAGUGUUUAUCCUCCAAUCAGGUUUAAUGGCAUUGCUUCUCUCCUAUGAUAGGAUUGAGAAAAUUAAAAUCGAGCUGCACAAAAGUGCAAGCAGAGAGUUUAAGAAGGAUAAAUAGAAUUACAAAUCUGUCUAAAUGAAAAAGAAUGGUGGAAAUGAAGCCUGAACUUUAAUAUAUUAAAACACUUAUUCCCAGAGCGGAAAUAUAGAAUUAAAAAUACUCAUCUGUCUUUUCCAUUGGUCUCAGAGCCAACUUCGUCAUCCACCCUCCACCUCAUCCCAUCCAAGAUUAUAGAUUAAUCAAUUAGUAGAAAGUACAAGCAAUAAGACUAGAUAGCAUUUCGUAUUUUUAGGAUUAACCAAAUACGUGGAAACUGAUUCCGACUGUUAUUUGGUUCCUAGUUUCGAAUGGCCCUGGGUCACCGAGGUGCCCUCCCUCAGACCCUGCCCUUGACCAACCCUCUCUAGUCUUCAUUUAAACCUACAUGUAUAUACAAAUACUAUCUGAUAUAAUAUUUUAAAAUUUAAAACAUAUUUACUAAAAAACCUUUUAGUAAACAUGUCUUCAUUGUGAGAUCUAGCCUAAAAGAAGAAAGCCUGGUCCCUAGGGCUAGUCACGGGAUGGAGGGCAGGUGCUGAGGAUUCCAAAUACCCAUAAAAUGUGGCUUGGCAAGGUCUGUUUCAUCCACUGUGCACAGCAACUAAAGAACUCUCUGCCGAGUCCUUUUGAGUUUGUAUGACCAUGUAAGAGAUGGGUUGAGUUUCUGCUGGAGAAGAUUUGGGCCUUGGACAGUGGUGCACAGAGGGCACAGGAGAGCAUUCAUGAUAUCAUGUUGUGGGAAGGCAGCUGACAGAACGUUAUAGCCAAAGGUUUUAUAUCAGCUUUUACAUCAGAGUUGGGACAGCCCAGGUGUGGGGUUGCGUGAAAUUUCCCCUCCCCGCAAGUACACAUGCUGGAGAAGUGAGGAGACAGGACAAGCAGGACAUAGAAAUGAAAAGUAGGAUGAUUCUGUUAACUGGAGCCAAAGUACAAUCAUUAGAGUAGAAUUCAUUUAAUAGAGGCCCCAAGAGAAAGGGUGUGUAUUUUAUAUAGUUUGAUAACGGAAGAAAACUAAUAGAGAGGUUCCCUGUCUGCAAAGCCCCUGCUCACUCCCCUGCUAUCCCAAGUAAGAGAGCAGUCCUGGUUCCAGAUUUCUCCACAGGGCGUUGGAAAUAACAAGGAAGGCUUUAACAAGGAAGCCCAGAAGGUGGGGCUGGGAAACGUACUUGAGGUUGCGCUGUGGGCAACCAUGGUGAGGGACAAAGGAUUAGUAACCACUUUCUUGUACCUGUUUUAGCAGAUAUGACUUUCUGGUAGAAAGGGGAAGAAGAGAAAAUGGUCCACUUUGACCGCAGUUCUUAAAAUCAAAACUUAACUGGGAAUUAGUGAAAGUGAGCUUCUAGUUGAAAUGGGAAAAAUUAAUGUUGGUGAAAGUCCUAAGUUUCUUGCUUGUUGUUUUUCAUUGCAUAGAGUUUUGAGGUUUGUUUUGUAAGGGUGGGAUGCAGAAAGAAGAAAAGAUCAGGGACAACCCGUAAUAAUUUUUUAAAGAUACCAUGAUUUACUGCAUCUUCUACAUUUGUUUCAGAUUAAAUAGAUUUAUAUCCACUUACAGCUGAAUGUGGGAAAAUUUUUAAGAGAAAAAUUGUAAUGUGGAGGUGUCCUUCAGGACUCUCACAGCCAUAAACACUCAUGGGUGAGUAGAGGAAGCAGAGGAAAAGCUGGCUUCACCGCUUUGUUGUUCACAAAGCCUUUAUAAAUAGUAGUGCCUUUCAGAGGGGAGGUGGGGAGAUAAAGAAGUUCAUUGUAUUUAGACUGACUGAUACUGCAGCAUUUUUUUUUCUUUAUAUUAAAAUAUCUUUUAAAUGAAAACAUCUGAAUAUAGGGUGAGGCCAGGAAUGCUUGAGUUUCAACCUCAGCUAUUCCUGAUUCGUCCUUUCUUACAGAAAGUCUUUGUUUUUUUCUGUCCCAAAUGUCCCCAUUGUUGAAAUGGGAUGGGGGGGUGGAGAGGAGGGACUUUAAUCUCAUAGGAAUGUUGGGAAAAUAGCAUAGUUGGGAUGCCUAAAAAAAAACACUUUGAUUUUUUUAAAGUGCUACACACUGCCAGUGCUAAGAAUUUUAUUGAUAGUAACUUUGAACAUUCCAGGUUUUCAAUACUCAUGUUUUAGGAUACCAUUUGCAAACUCGUAAGAUUAAAUUCUGUAAUUUGAUUUUAAUUGGAAGUACCAGGUGCUCUUUGUCUAAAUGUUAUUUGGUCUUAGCCUGUAAUUUCAAUCAUUUAAAAAGCAUGUCUACAGAAAAAGGUUAGGAGACCUGAUGGUCUUAUGUGAAUAAACUGUUUUCUCCAGUAUUUCUGAUGGCAGACACAGAUUAGGGUGCCCUCCAAAGCAGCUGCUGCUCUCUCUUCUCAAGCUAUAUGCUUGGGAAACAUUGACAGAGAAGAACCCAAACAGCCACUUUCCUCACUGGGAGGGCAGAAGUAAGAAUAAAAUAUUGUCUGAUAUCACAACUCAUUUCUUCAGAAUUUCACUGGCAUCCACCGUAAGAAGCAAAUUACAUGUACAGGUGUAGAAAUGAAUAGAACUGUUGGAUUUUAGAGGGGAAACCUUGGAUUUCUCUCUCCCUCUCUCUCUUUCUCUCUCUCUCUCUUUUUAAAGAUACUUAAGAGUUUCUGGAGUAGCAUAUUUGCUUUCUUAUAGUCUCCAUGAUUUAGUGCCCAGGAGUUAGUCAUUCCUGUUUGCUUGCCUAUGUGAAAGAGCAUGGAAAUUUAGAUUUGUGAGAACAUGAGGGAGCAAAUACCUUAUAAACUAGGUGGUGGUCAUUUCUGUGUAUUAACUAAAACUUGGUCCCACAAAUUUGAUAGAGGAGGAAAUAUUGCAAACAUAAGGGGUCUCUGCAGUAGGGCAAAAGUGCAAACUCACCACUCCCCUGUUUGGUUUUGAGGAAUGUGGGCUUUAUUCCUUUUUCUCCCGUGUAGCGUGUCUGUGUAGUCUGGGUUAGGCUAACACUGUCUGUGGGCUUCCAGUGGAUUUAUUCGCAUUAUGAUUGUUCUUAACUAUUUAAAGUCAAGGGGUCAUUUGGAAAUUAACAAUUAAACCUGGGGCAGGUUUAGAAAAGAUAAAGUUCAUACAUACUCCACUAAGAAAAGGGAAGCUACUGUGUUAAUAUUUAUUUUCUAAAAACUGUAAGGCUCUCAGUUGUUUCAUUAAUUCUAGAGGAUUGGAAAGAGCUGAAAUUUGUCCAUAGCCCUAGACAUUUUGAUAGGAAAUAUUAUUCAUGUGAGAAAUCUAUAUAGAAAUAGAACACAGAAAUAUCAUAGGCUGUAUCUUCUAUGAAAGGCAUUUCUGCAUUUUUCAUAUGUGUAGCAGUUAGAGAAGAGGAGAAAUCAAUUACUCUUAAGACAAAUUUUCAUCUUUAAGGGUCAUUUUUGGGAAGCUUGAAAUUAAUACUCGUGAAAGCCUGAAAUACUCAUAGGCUAUUGUGUUUUGUCAGCCUGUUUGUUGGGAGAUUCUAAAAUGUGGUCAGAUUUAGUUUUAUUCAAAUGAUUGAGAUUAAUUGUUUAUUCAGAUGCCUGUUAUUUCAGAGGGUGAGGGUGAGGAUAGCUGAGAAAAAGGUGGGUAGUGGGAAAACAGUGCAAAUAAAAUUUAACAAGCUAAUUUGCUAGCCCAGGGAUAGCUAGCAUUGAGAGUUCCAUCAAUGCCUGACUUCUAUCAAGAGAUGAAUCCACAUCGUGGAGUAUUAUGGGGACUGUUACCAUGCUCUCAGAGACUGUGGUUAUGAAGUUAACAAAACAUAUAUCUCCUCUUACUAACUUAAGCCAUAUCUGUCAUCUCUGUGUCUGAUUUUUUUGACCCUGGUGCUUUUACUUCUGUUUCUGCCAAACUCCAGCCUGCUCUAUGGGGAAGGUGAGUAAAACCAGUAGUUAGGACCAAUGUGAAGACUGUGAAAAACACUAAACAUACCCAUCAGAAUGAGAUCCUAGUCAGAAAACAGUAGUGAUCAAAGUGCAAACUGUUGGAAUAUAUGGAUAUAUGUACAUCUGUACAUGUAUAUAGUGUAUAAUAUGUAUGUAUAUGUUAUUGCUCAUAUGCAGAAAUCUAUCCAGUUGAAGACAGCCCAGGUCGGUCAGUUUUUCUACUGGAAAACCACUUAGAGCCAUUCAAAACCAUUAGGGCUGAUGGGUGGAGUUAGGGUCUACUCAUUUGGGAAUUACUUGCUGUCCUUUAAAGUCCACAGAGCCAAGUGAACAAAGCCUGAAACAUAAUGGGGCCAUCAUUUAGGUUAUCUGUUUACCUGGGGUCAGGAGUAUCUUUAUAUUUGAAUUAUUAAUAGUUGGUUUGCAAACUGCAUUGGCACCUCUUGGUUUUGAGUGACCCAUCCCCACCAAGUCUUUUGAGAGUUUGGGGUGGCUUCUCUGGCCCUUGAGAUCAAGGGCCUUAUCCAUAAGUGGAUAGGUUUCCCCAUAGGGACCAUUACACAUAUACAUAUAAGUACAUACUUCCAUCAGGCUUGUAACAAUUGAUUUAAAACCACUCCACAGUAUUGAUAAAUAGCUCUAUAUUUUCAAGGUGCAGAAGACUUCCACAGCCUUAAUUAUUUCAGUGUCUUGCUGGUCUGCCUUAAGUGUAUCUUCUGGGUUUUUGGUUGUCUUAUUAUUUUUAAAAUUUUCUGCAGUUCAUUUUGUAUGCACACAAUGUCGUUUUGUAAAGGUAGGUUGUAAAUAUUUUAUUUGUAAGUCAAAAUCACUCAUGUGUAAUGUUGUAAAGUGAUGACCUUCUGUCUUGUUAUAACUACAGUAAAUGUUAUAAGUCAUGGAUGAAACUUCAAAAUGUACAUCUCACAAGUUAUGCAUUCCUAUAAAUACACUAUACUAAAGAUAUUA
This 8210-nucleotide long non-coding RNA is filed under the name Lynx pardinus (Iberian lynx). The record is from RNAcentral. Lineage: Eukaryota; Metazoa; Chordata; Mammalia; Carnivora; Felidae.